This 447-nucleotide ribosomal RNA is filed under the name uncultured bacterium. Its description in RNAcentral is "partial 16S ribosomal RNA". It matches the Rfam family "Bacterial small subunit ribosomal RNA", at positions 330 to 793 of the family's 1533-position model. The record is from RNAcentral.
UCCAGACUCCUACGGGAGGCAGCAGUGGGGAAUAUUGCACAAUGGGGGGAACCCUGAUGCAGCGACGCCGCGUGGGUGAAGGAGUACUUCGGUACGUAAAGCCCUAUCAGCAGGAAAGAAAAUGACGGUACCUGACUAAGAAGCCCCGGCUAACUACGUGCCAGCAGCCGCGGUAAUACGUAGGGGGCAAGCGUUAUCCGGAUUUACUGGGUGUAAAGGGAGCGUAGACGGCAGUGCAAGUCCGGAGUGAAAGCCCGGGGCUCAACCCUGGGACUGCUCUGGAAACUGUGCAGCUAGAGUGCAGGAGAGGCAGGCGGAAUUCCUAGUGUAGCGGUGAAAUGCGUAGAUAUUAGGAGGAACACCGGUGGCGAAGGCGGCCUGCUGGACUGUAACUGACGUUGAGGCUCGAAAGCGUGGGGAGCAAACAGGAUUAGAUACCCCCGUAUG